UCGAGAAUUUUUCUCAAUGGGGGCAACCCUGAAGGAGCGACGCCGCGUGGAGGAUGAAGGUCUUCGGAUUGUAAACUCCUGUCAUUAGGGAACAAUUGUCGCCGCUUAACUGCCGGCGGCUUGAUAGUACCUGAAGAGGAAGAGACGGCUAACUCUGUGCCAGCAGCCGCGGUAAUACAGAGGUCUCAAGCGUUGUUCGGAUUCAUUGGGCGUAAAGGGUGCGUAGGUGGCGAGGCAAGUCAGAUGUGAAAUCCCGGGGCUCAACCCCGGAACUGCAUUUGAAACUGCCUUGCUCGAGUACUGGAGAGGAGACUGGAAUUUACGGUGUAGCAGUGAAAUGCGUAGAUAUCGUAAGGAAGACCAGUGGCGAAGGCGAGUCUCUGGACAGUUACUGACACUGAGGCACGAAGGCCAGGGGAGCAAACGG
RNAcentral lists this ribosomal RNA (427 nucleotides) under uncultured bacterium. Its description in RNAcentral is "bacterial SSU rRNA". It matches the Rfam family "Bacterial small subunit ribosomal RNA", at positions 355 to 775 of the family's 1533-position model. The record is from RNAcentral.